This 21-nucleotide microRNA is filed under the name Marchantia polymorpha subsp. ruderalis. Lineage: Eukaryota; Viridiplantae; Streptophyta; Marchantiopsida; Marchantiales; Marchantiaceae. The record is from RNAcentral.
UAGAUCUUUCCCCUCCAUCCA